Molecule: ribosomal RNA, 344 nt
Filed under: Triparma pacifica
Lineage: Eukaryota; Bolidophyceae; Parmales; Triparmaceae
Description: partial Bacterial large subunit ribosomal RNA
Rfam family: Bacterial large subunit ribosomal RNA
Source: RNAcentral
GGGAAUGCCUAGGCUCUCAGAGGCGAUGAAGGACGUGAUAAGCUGCGAAAAGCUACGGGGAUUGGCACAUACAAAUUGAUCCGUAGAUAUCCGAAUGGGGCAACCCGGCAUGUUGAAGACAUGUUAUCCGCAAGGAGGCGAACCCGGAGAACUGAAACAUCUAAGUACCCGGAGGAGAAGAAAACAAAAGUGAUUCCGAUAGUAGCGGCGAGCGAAAUCGGAUUAGCCCAAACCAGUAUUGUUACGGCAAUGCUGGGGUUGUAGGACUGCGACAUUUGAGUCAUGAUGAAUUAGAACCGUUUGGAAAGACGGGCCAUAGAAGGUGAUAGCCCUGUAUAGGUAAA